CCUACGUGCGUCUGCAGUGAGGAAUAUUGGUCAAUGGACGAGAGUCUGAACCAGCCAAGUAGCGUGAAGGAUGACUGCCCUAUGGGUUGUAAACUUCUUUUAUAUGGGAAUAAAAUGUUCCACGUGUGGGAUUUUGUAUGUACCAUAUGAAUAAGGAUCGGCUAACUCCGUGUCAGCAGCCGCGGUAAUACGGAGGAUCCGAGCGUUAUCCGGAUUUAUUGGGUUUAAAGGGAGCGUAGGUGGAUUGUUAAGUCAGUUGUGAAAGUUUGCGGCUCAACCGUAAAAUUGCAGUUGAAACUGGCAGUCUUGAGUACAGUAGAGGUGGGCGGAAUUCGUGGUGGAGCGGUGAAAUGCUUAGAUAUCACGAAGAACUCCGAUUGCGAAGGCAGCUCACUGGACUGCAACUGACACUGAGGCUCGAAAGUGUGGGUAUCAAACAGGAUUAGAUACCCCAGUAGUC
Molecule: ribosomal RNA, 460 nt
Filed under: uncultured bacterium
Lineage: Bacteria
Description: partial 16S ribosomal RNA
Rfam family: Bacterial small subunit ribosomal RNA
Source: RNAcentral